This 381-nucleotide ribosomal RNA is filed under the name uncultured archaeon. Its description in RNAcentral is "bacterial SSU rRNA". It matches the Rfam family "Archaeal small subunit ribosomal RNA", at positions 473 to 853 of the family's 1478-position model. The record is from RNAcentral.
ACACCGGCGGCCCGAGUGGUGAUCGUGAUUAUUGGGUCUAAAGGGUCCGUAGCCGGUUUGGUCAGUCCUCCGGGAAAUCUGAUGGCUCAACCAUUAGGCUUUCGGGGGAUACUGCCAGGCUUGGAACCGGGAGAGGUAAGAGGUACUACAGGGGUAGGAGUGAAAUCUUGUAAUCCCUGUGAGACCACCUGUGGCGAAGGCGUCUUACCAGAACGGGUUCGACGGUGAGGGACGAAAGCUGGGGGCACGAACCGGAUUAGAUACCCGGGUAGUCCCAGCCGUAAACGAUGCUCGCUAGGUGUCAGGCAUGGCGCGACCGUGUCUGGUGCCGCAGGGAAGCCGUGAAGCGAGCCACCUGGGAAGUACGGCCGCAAGGCUGAA